This is a non-coding RNA of Physeter macrocephalus (sperm whale), 72 nucleotides long. Lineage: Eukaryota; Metazoa; Chordata; Mammalia; Artiodactyla; Physeteridae. The record is from the annotation of a RefSeq genome assembly.
UCCCUGGUGGUCUAGUGGUUAGGAUUCAGUGCUUGCAUCGCUGUAGCCCGGGUUCAAUCCCUGGUUGGGGAA